Molecule: long non-coding RNA, 380 nt
Organism: Bos taurus (domestic cattle)
Lineage: Eukaryota; Metazoa; Chordata; Mammalia; Artiodactyla; Bovidae
Source: Ensembl
CCUCAAGCCAGAGGCCAAGAGAGAAGAAUAGAGCUUUCUUCACCGAGCAAGGCUGAGUAAUGCCAUAGUCUCACCUUCCCUGGGGCUCAGUGUGCCACUGUAGCCCAGCCAACUCUGGUCUUUUCUGGGAGUCGUCCAGCCCCAGCCUCCUGCUUACAUGACCUGAGUGCGCUAUCCUUGCCAGACUUUGAAACUUCUAUCCAUGAAGCAUUUAAACUACACAGGCAAUGCCGAAACCCAUUCUUCCUUCCUGGCUUCUCUGGUUUGAUUAGAGAUUCCCUGAGAGCGUGGACUACUCACCUCAGUGCCUUGCAUGGAGCACCAUACAUAAUUAAUUAAUGCCUAAUACAUAUUUGAACAAGUGAAUCAACAAGGACAAC